UGCAUAUGUACUUCUACUGUUUCUGUAAUGUUGUUAAACCCUUGUUGGCUAACUGUUAGUCACAAAUACACAUAUAUCUAUUAUUUGAUGUCUCCAAUCGAGGUGUCUCCCACCAGCUAGCUACUGGAGUGUGAAACAAUUGACCGACGUCAGUUCAUCAAAAGCCUUGAGUUUUGUUAGUUAAAUCUGCAAUAUGCAUACCCCCAUGCCAGCAAGCACACUAGCUCAGAACAACAACAAAUUCUUAACCAGCUAGCUAACCAAACAUGGUGCAGGUUAAUUAGAUGGACGAACAUUAUUGCCUCGGCUUGAUUUUGCCGGAUAUGCAUAUGUUGCCCAACCAUUGACGAGUUUCCGCACAACAUGUCACUUGUGCUCCAUAAUCAAGGGAAAUUAUAUUCACUUUUCAAUCACCGCUUGAAAGCAAUUCAACUAGAAGCCAGCUAAAUUUAGCUAAUAAUUUGACCGAUGUACGCGUAAGAUCCGCAAUUGAAGGAAUGCAAAAUUGAUAACUGUGUGCACUCUAGGCAUACUUCCCCUAGCUAGAUCCAUAGUCAAUUCAGGCAAAGACAUGUGCACUGCCUCCGAAAUAUUCAUGCUUUGAUUCAAUACUCAAUCUGAUCCAAAAUAAACCACGACACUUAUUUUUAGAUCGGAGGGAGCAACUAGUAUAGAAUCUGCACUUGUGGUGCAAAAAUAGAAAAAUGCAUUCUAGGCCGUGGAUUGAAGAUGAAUGGCACAGAGGUACCUCCUGCCACUUAAUGUGUAUUUUUACAAAAACCACCCGCUAGUAGUCAGAUAUAAAACAUGACUUUCAUUGUAAACACCUUACCUUUCUCAUAUUCGUUCAUUUUGUCCUUGGUACAUAAGACUAACUUUCAAAACGUCACAGUUGAUGCUUCAGCUUUAUACUUGUCUAAUGGAUGGUUUCAUGUAUAUAUAAGUACAGUACUGGCUUCUACUAUAUGUCUAUCAAUCGUGCAAGAAAACUAAACAAGUUGGUUACCAAAGUGUGUCAAUAUGUAUCACAAAUAUAAGUGAAGAUGAGAAAAUUAAGUCAAGCUAGACCAUUUCAGGCACAUGUUAGACUGGACAAUUCCAGGCACAAAUAUUGGAAUUAUUUAAGUACAUGUCAAGCUAGACCAUUAGUUGCACAAAUAUUCGAGUACACGUCAAACUAGACCCUUCCCGGGCACACAUAUUUGUCAAUCUGGCGCACCCACGAGAGACAUACAUACAUAUGAAGUGAUACAUAAGAUGACAUGAUCAUUUCUAGUGCAUGGCCGGUAAGAAUGAGUGUGAAGGACUUAAGGAUCACACUGAACAAUCAUUGCUUUAAAAAAUUGUAUCAGCUUUGCUAUCCUGAUGGUAUAUGACAGAAAGUUCUUCUCUUGCCUCCAGUUAUACUGUUUCUUGCCCUUGGAACUUCAUAUGCCUGGGAAAGAUCACACAAAACAAAUACUGUUUUUAUUUGCUUAGAACCAGGUGAGACAGCAACAACUAAGAUUCUCUAGAAGCUGUAAAUAAUUCUUCAAAAUGACCCAAGAGCAAUGGCAGGGGCAGAGCUUAGUACUAGUCAAUGAGCUCUAAACUACUCAUCAUACCCAGAGCAUAACAUGUGUUCUACACCAAAAUCCAGAUGUCUGACUUCUCAAUCUCCUGAAACAAAACAAAUUCAAAAUUCAGAAGUCAUCUCCAAUUGCAUGGUUGCAAAUUAGAAGGCUACAGGCUGCACCACGCAUGCCGGUGCAGCUCAGGUAGCUAGCUAGCUAGCUCUCUCUGCUCUGCAUAUGUACUUCUACUGUUUCUGUAAUGUUGUUAAACCCUUGUUGGCUAACUGUUAGUCACAAAUACACAUAUAUCUAUUAUUUGAUGUCUCCAAUCGAGGUGUCUCCCACCAGCUAGCUACUGGAGUGUGAAACAAUUGACCGACGUCAGUUCAUCAAAAGCCUUGAGUUUUGUUAGUUAAAUCUGCAAUAUGCAUACCCCCAUGCCAGCAAGCACACUAGCUCGGAACAACAACAAAUUCUUAACCAGCUAGCUAACCAAACAUGGUGCAGGUUAAUUAGAUGGACGAACAUUAUUGCCUCGGCUUGAUUUUGCCGGAUAUGCAUAUGUUGCCCAACCAUUGACGAGUUUCCGCACAACAUGUCACUUGUGCUCCAUAAUCAAGGGAAAUUAUAUUCACUUUUCAAUCACCGCUUGAA
This 2207-nucleotide long non-coding RNA is filed under the name Triticum aestivum (bread wheat). RNAcentral's name for it is "long non-coding RNA (TAES_LNC017686)". The record is from RNAcentral. Lineage: Eukaryota; Viridiplantae; Streptophyta; Magnoliopsida; Poales; Poaceae.